CAUGUUUGUGCUGCCUCUGGAGCCCGAAAUGCCUCCAGCCUGGAGGAGGUAAGCAAGGGCUGCUUUACAGCUUCCCCACAGUUGUUUUGAAAAAUCUUUUCAGUUUUUUUUCCCCUAUGUGUUUCAAGGUCAGAAAAGAAAAAAUUAGCUCUGAAAUAUGAAUCAAAGUCUUAAGCUCCAGCCUUAGGAAAGAAAGAUGCUAUAAUAAACAAAGCUGUAUGAAAUGAAGGAUUGUGAGAGGCUCAGAGGUCUGUCUCUCCUGCUAUAAAACCUCCUUUAUUCCUGUGGCUCCUACAUGGACUCCCUACUCCUCCAAUUUUCCUCAUUGCUUCAGUGCUUCAUAGCUCUCCUUAAGUCUCUCCCCCUCAGGCUUGGGCUCAAUUUGUCAUUGUCCUUGCAUCAUCUUCACAGCAAUGAUUUCUCAUUCUGAUUUAUUUAGUAUUUUGCAAACCUCUGCAUUAGAACAAAAGAUGAAGUGACUUCAAGGAGAUGAUAAAUUGGGUUGGUUUUUUUUUUCUUCAAAGCCCUGGUCCUCAUCUUGGUAAACAGACAUUUCUCCCUGGCAAUGAAUUCCAUGUUUGGAUCUGCAGCACAGGCUGAGGGAUGCUGGGUGAAGGAAUUCCACUGGAGAAGGGCUCUGUGCUUUGCACAGCUGAAUAGCUGCAGUAGCAGUGGGGUGCAAUAUAUCAGGCACAUCAGGAACCUCCUGCAUUGCUGCUGUGGGCCCUCUGAAGCUGUGACUCCCCUUGUCUAUUGACCUUUCCUUGCUGGUGGAAGGAUUUGGCUGCUGAGAAGCUGCUGGAUGUAAAGAGCUCAAUGUGCAGCACAAGACACAAGAUUUAAAUUGCUGGUGGAAGAGCAGUGUCCCCUUCCAGGACUGCAGGGGUCCCUUCUGGAGCCCAGAGUGUGGUGGCUGAUCCCAGAGCAGUGUCAUUGCUGGAAUCCACAGGGACCCUGCCACUGUUCCAGGUUUCUGUGCAGGGUUUACAGGGAAAUGGAGAUUGGGUCAUAUUGAACUCUGCUGGUGUUCGUUGGUGCAAACUUUCACAGCCAUGCAAUUUUAAGGUUUAAUUAUGUGCUGUGACUCCCAGAUUAAAGUAUGAUGACUUACACAUAACAGAAUGGGACAAAAAGCAGAGAAAUUAUUCCAAAGUUCUGGUUUCUCAGAAGAAAUAAUUUCCUUGAUCAAGUAACAUUCUCAAUUACUGAAAAACAGAGUG
RNAcentral lists this long non-coding RNA (1220 nucleotides) under Junco hyemalis (dark-eyed junco). RNAcentral describes it as "lncRNA (ENSJHYG00000017347.1)". The record is from RNAcentral. Lineage: Eukaryota; Metazoa; Chordata; Aves; Passeriformes; Passerellidae.